GCCUUAUUACUACUUCACCGAGACUAGGCUAGGCACUUACCAAUACAUGGGGUCGGUUGUGCUGAUACUAUGCUCUGCACUAUGUACGGAUCCCGAUGCGGCGACUUUUGGACCGCAAUGAGGGUGUUGUCUUUAGCCCGUUCAAGCGACCCGAGGUAGUCGUGCAUGUGUCCACAGUCCCUGACGUCUCUUUCUAUCAUCGUCUUCUAUUUUUACUUGUUCAGAUACAGAUUCGUGUAUUUCUGUUCAGACUUUAUUUGUAGUAUUCUUAGAUCGUCCCUGACUUUGUGACACCAAAUUCUAG
Molecule: long non-coding RNA, 304 nt
Filed under: Nicotiana benthamiana
Lineage: Eukaryota; Viridiplantae; Streptophyta; Magnoliopsida; Solanales; Solanaceae
Description: long non-coding RNA (NBEN_LNC038903)
Source: RNAcentral